This 481-nucleotide ribosomal RNA is filed under the name uncultured bacterium. Its description in RNAcentral is "partial 16S ribosomal RNA". It matches the Rfam family "Bacterial small subunit ribosomal RNA", at positions 28 to 507 of the family's 1533-position model. The record is from RNAcentral.
GAUGAACGCUGGCGGCGUGCUUAACACAUGCAAGUCGAACGAAACACCUUAUUUGAUUUUCUUCGGAACUGAAGAUUUGGUGAUUGAGUGGCGGACGGGUGAGUAACGCGUGGGUAACCUGCCCUGUACAGGGGGAUAACAGUCAGAAAUGACUGCUAAUACCGCAUAAGACCACAGCACCGCAUGGUGCAGGGGUAAAAACUCCGGUGGUACAGGAUGGACCCGCGUCUGAUUAGCUGGUUGGUGAGGUAACGGCUCACCAAGGCGACGAUCAGUAGCCGGCUUGAGAGAGUGAACGGCCACAUUGGGAAUGAGACACGGCCCAAACUCCUACGGGAGGCAGCAGUGGGGAAUAUUGCACGAUGGGGGAAACCCUGAUGCAGCGACGCCGCGUGAGUGAAGAAGUAUUUCGGUAUGUAAAGCUCUAUCAGCAGGGAAGAAAAUGACGGUACCUGACGAAGAAGCCCCGGCUAACUACGUG